RNAcentral lists this ribosomal RNA (497 nucleotides) under uncultured bacterium. Its description in RNAcentral is "partial 16S ribosomal RNA". It matches the Rfam family "Bacterial small subunit ribosomal RNA", at positions 28 to 507 of the family's 1533-position model. The record is from RNAcentral.
GAUGAACGCUGGCGGCGUGCCUAAUACAUGCAAGUCGAGCGAACAGACGAGGAGCUUGCUCCUCUGACGUUAGCGGCGGACGGGUGAGUAACACGUGGAUGACCUACCUAUAAGACUGGGAUAACUUCGGGAAACCGGAGCUAAUACCGGAUAAUAUAUUGAACCGCAUGGUUCAAUAGUGAAAGACGGUUUUGCUGUCACUUAUAGAUGGAUCCGCGCCGCAUUAGCUAGUUGGUAAGGUAACGGCUUACCAAGGCGACGAUGCGUAGCCGACCUGAGAGGGUGAUCGGCCACACUGGAACUGAGACACGGUCCAGACUCCUACGGGAGGCAGCAGUAGGGAAUCUUCCGCAAAGGGCGAAAGCCUGACGGAGCAACGCCGCGUGAGUGAUGAAGGUCUUCGGAUCGUAAAACUCUGUUAUUAGGGAAGAACAAAUGUGUAAGUAACUAUGCACGUCUUGACGGUACCUAAUCAGAAAGCCACGGCUAACUACGUG